CCGCAGCUCCCUGGAUGCAACAAGGAGCACAAUAACGUCUCUUCUUCCAAUGGAAAUUAUUCUUCAAGGAAUUUUCAUUUUUCAACAUUAUUUCUCCACAUGUUUCCUGGCUUCUCUUCAGAGCUCCUGACAUUCAUGCUGCUAGAUUCCUCCUGACCAGGUAAAAAGAAGUCAAUGAACUUAUUUGAACUUUUGAGAUAGAAACUUAUUUUUGUUGAAAUAUAUGCAUGCAUUCUAUCUGGAC
This 244-nucleotide long non-coding RNA is filed under the name Felis catus (domestic cat). Its description in RNAcentral is "lncRNA (ENSFCAG00000047014.1)". Lineage: Eukaryota; Metazoa; Chordata; Mammalia; Carnivora; Felidae. The record is from RNAcentral.